AGCCUGAACGCUGGCGGCGUGGCUAAGACAUGCAAGUCGUACGGUGUAGCAAUACACAGUGGCGAACGGGUGAGUAAUGAAUCGCUAAUGUACCCUGGACUCUGGGAUAGCUGCCCGAAAGGGCAGGUAAUACCAGAUGAGACCACGAUCAGGCAUCUGAUUGUGCUCAAAGGUCCGCCGGUCGUGGGAGCGACGCGUAUUUCGUAUCAGUCGUAGUUGUGAGGUAACGGCU
Molecule: ribosomal RNA, 232 nt
Filed under: uncultured soil bacterium
Lineage: Bacteria
Description: partial 16S ribosomal RNA
Rfam family: Bacterial small subunit ribosomal RNA
Source: RNAcentral